UGGGGAAUCUUGCGCAAUGGGCGAAAGCCUGACGCAGCCAUGCCGCGUGAGUGAUGAAGGCCUUAGGGUUGUAAAACUCUUUCACCGGGGACGAUAAUGACGGUACCCGGAGAAGAAGCCCCGGCUAACUUCGUGCCAGCAGCCGCGGUAAUACGAAGGGGGCUAGCGUUGCUCGGAAUUACUGGGCGUAAAGGGCGCGUAGGCGGAUCAGCAAGUUGGGGGUGAAAGCCCGGGGCUCAAGCCUCGGAAUUGCCUUCAAAACUGCUGAUCUAGAGUACGGGAGAGGUGUGUGGAACUCCGAGUGUAGAGGUGAAAUUCGUAGAUAUUCGGAAGAACACCAGUGGCGAAGGCGACACACUGGCCCGUUACUGACGCUGAGGCGCGAAAGCGUGGGGAGCAAACAGGAUUAGAUACCCUGGUAGUCCACGCUGUAAACGAUGAUUGCUAGUUGUCGGCAGGCAUGCCUGUCGGUGGCGCAGCUAACGCAUU
This 489-nucleotide ribosomal RNA is filed under the name uncultured bacterium. RNAcentral's name for it is "partial 16S ribosomal RNA". It matches the Rfam family "Bacterial small subunit ribosomal RNA", at positions 355 to 861 of the family's 1533-position model. The record is from RNAcentral.